This 64-nucleotide transfer RNA is filed under the name Daboia russelii (Russell's viper). RNAcentral's name for it is "tRNA-Asp". The record is from RNAcentral. Lineage: Eukaryota; Metazoa; Chordata; Lepidosauria; Squamata; Viperidae.
AAGAGCCUAGUAAACAUUAUUACAUGACUUUGUCAUAGUCAAAUCACAACAUUUGUGGCUCUUA